CAGUCGCCGCGGUAAUACGGAGGGCGCGAGCGUUACCCGGAUUUACUGGGCGUAAAGGGCGUGUAGGCGGCCUGGGGCGUCCCAUGUGAAAGGCCACGGCUCAACCGUGGAGGAGCGUGGGAUACGCUCAGGCUAGAGGGUGGGAGAGGGUGGUGGAAUUCCCGGAGUAGCGGUGAAAUGCGCAGAUACCGGGAGGAACGCCGAUGGCGAAGGCAGCCACCUGGUCCACUUCUGACGCUGAGGCGCGAAAGCGUGGGGAGCGAACAGGAUUAGAUACCCCAGUAGUCCCUGUCUCUUAUAC
This 301-nucleotide ribosomal RNA is filed under the name uncultured bacterium. RNAcentral's name for it is "partial 16S ribosomal RNA". It matches the Rfam family "Bacterial small subunit ribosomal RNA", at positions 509 to 807 of the family's 1533-position model. The record is from RNAcentral.